Molecule: small RNA, 157 nt
Filed under: Marmota monax (woodchuck)
Lineage: Eukaryota; Metazoa; Chordata; Mammalia; Rodentia; Sciuridae
Source: RNAcentral
AUCGCUUCUCGGCCUUUUGGCUAAGAUCAAGUGGAGAAAGGAGGAGAAGAGAGGACAGAUACAAUUAAAACUUUAUAUAUGCAUGCAUGGAAAUGUCACAGUGAAACCUAUUCAUUCAUAUAAUUAAUAUGAGUUAACAUUUAUAAUUAUCAAAACU